Molecule: ribosomal RNA, 254 nt
Filed under: uncultured bacterium
Lineage: Bacteria
Description: partial 16S ribosomal RNA
Rfam family: Bacterial small subunit ribosomal RNA
Source: RNAcentral
UACGGAGGGUGCUAGCGUUGUUCGGAAUCACUGGGCGUAAAGGGCGCGUAGGCGGCCCGCACAAGUCUGCGGUGAAAACCUCCGGCUUAACCGGGGGCCGGCCGUGGAAACUGUCGGGCUGGAGGCUGGGAGAGGGCAGCGGAAUUCCCGGUGUAGCGGUGAAAUGCGUAGAGAUCGGGAGGAACACCGGCGGCGAAGGCGGCUGCCUGGACCAGUCCUGACGCUGAGGCGCGAAAGCUAGGGGAGCAAACAGG